UACGAAGGGGGCUAGCGUUGCUCGGAAUCACUGGGCGUAAAGGGUGCGUAGGCGGGGCUUUAAGUCAGGGGUGAAAUCCUGGAGCUCAACUCCAGAACUGCCUUUGAUACUGGGAAGCUCGAGUCCGGGAGAGGUGAGUGGAACUCCGAGUGUAGAGGUGAAAUUCGUAGAUAUUCGGAAGAACACCAGUGGCGAAGGCGGCUCACUGGCCCGAUACUGACGCUGAGGCACGAAAGCGUGGGGAGCAAACAGG
This 253-nucleotide ribosomal RNA is filed under the name uncultured bacterium. RNAcentral's name for it is "partial 16S ribosomal RNA". It matches the Rfam family "Bacterial small subunit ribosomal RNA", at positions 524 to 776 of the family's 1533-position model. The record is from RNAcentral.